AUGAACGCUAGCGACAGGCCUAACACAUGCAAGUCAGGGGCAGCACAAGGAGCAAUCUGAGGUGGCGACCGGCGCACGGGUGAGUAACACGUAUGCAACCUGCCUGUAAGCGGGGAAUAACCCGUUGAAAGACGGACUAAUACCGCAUAAUACUAAAUUACUGCAUGGUAAUUUAUUUAAGCAUUUAUGGCUUACAGAUGGGCAUGCGCAUGAUUAGCUAGUUGGAGAGGUAACGGCUCCCCAAGGCAACGAUCAUUAGGGGUUCUGAGAGGAAGGUCCCCCACACUGGUACUGAGACACGGACCAGACUCCUACGGGAGGCAGCAGUGAGGAAUAUUGGUCAAUGGACGAGAGUCUGAACCAGCCAAGUCGCGUGCAGGAAGAAUGUCCUAAUGGAUUGUAAACUGCUUUUGCAGGGGAAUAAAGUGCAUCACGUGUGAUGUUUUGUAUGUACUCUGCGAAUAAGGAUCGGCUAACUCCGUGCCAGCAGCAGC
Molecule: ribosomal RNA, 494 nt
Filed under: uncultured bacterium
Lineage: Bacteria
Description: bacterial SSU rRNA
Rfam family: Bacterial small subunit ribosomal RNA
Source: RNAcentral